Molecule: ribosomal RNA, 229 nt
Filed under: Clostridioides difficile
Lineage: Bacteria; Bacillati; Bacillota; Clostridia; Peptostreptococcales; Peptostreptococcaceae
Description: partial 16S ribosomal RNA
Rfam family: Bacterial small subunit ribosomal RNA
Source: RNAcentral
CCUGGAGGAAGGUGGGGAUGACGUCAAAUCAUCAUGCCCCUUAUGCUUAGGGCUACACACGUGCUACAAUGGGUAGUACAGAGGGUUGCCAAGCCGUAAGGCGGAGCUAAUCCCUUAAAGCUACUCUUAGUUCGGAUUGUAGGCUGAAACUCGCCUACAUGAAGCUGGAGUUACUAGUAAUCGCAGAUCAGAAUGCUGCGGUGAAUGCGUUCCCGGGUCUUGUACACAC